Molecule: ribosomal RNA, 429 nt
Filed under: Bacillota bacterium
Lineage: Bacteria; Bacillati; Bacillota
Description: Firmicutes bacterium partial 16S ribosomal RNA
Rfam family: Bacterial small subunit ribosomal RNA
Source: RNAcentral
UGGGGAAUAUUGGACAAUGGGCGCAAGCCUGAUCCAGCAAUGCCGCGUGUGUGAAGAAGGCCUUCGGGUUGUAAAGCACUUUUAUCAGGAGCGAAAUACGAUGGGCUAAUACCCCGUCGGGCUGACGGUACCUGAGGAAUAAGCACCGGCUAACUUCGUGCCAGCAGCCGCGGUAAUACGAAGGGUGCAAGCGUUAAUCGGAAUUACUGGGCGUAAAGCGUGCGUAGGCGGUGAUUUAAGUCUGCUGUGAAAUCCCCGGGCUCAACCUGGGAAUGGCAGUGGAUACUGGAUCGCUAGAGUGUGAUAGAGGAUGGUGGAAUUCCCGGUGUAGCGGUGAAAUGCGUAGAGAUCGGGAGGAACAUCAGUGGCGAAGGCGGCCAUCUGGAUCAACACUGACGCUGAGGCACGAAAGCGUGGGGAGCAAAAAGG